GCGCCCAUAGCUCAUUUGGCAGAGCGGUGGGACGGUACCCCACACGGUCCCGGGUUCAAGUCCCGGCGGUCGCU
Non-coding RNA from Phthorimaea operculella (potato tuberworm), 74 nucleotides. NCBI's taxonomy places the organism in Eukaryota, Metazoa, Arthropoda, Insecta, Lepidoptera, Gelechiidae. The record is from the annotation of a GenBank genome assembly.